This 716-nucleotide ribosomal RNA is filed under the name Ischnocnema parva. RNAcentral describes it as "partial 12S ribosomal RNA". It matches the Rfam family "Bacterial small subunit ribosomal RNA", at positions 467 to 1509 of the family's 1533-position model. The record is from RNAcentral. Lineage: Eukaryota; Metazoa; Chordata; Amphibia; Anura; Brachycephalidae.
ACUAGAUCUAGCUAAAGAAAGUAGAGCCGGCAAAUACGGUGCCAGCCGCCGCGGGUACACCCAAAGGCUCAAAUUGAUUUUUCCCGGCGUAAAGCGUGAUUAAAGUGCCAACAAACUAGAGUUUAACUCAAACUAAACAGUGAUAUGCUUGUUUAAAAGAACCCUAAAAACGAAAGUUACUCUACCCUAACAACUUGAAUCCACGAUAGCUGAGACAUAAACUGGGAUUAGGUACCCCACUAUACUCAACCUUAAACUUUAAAUUACUUUCCCCAUCGCCAAGGGAUUACGAGCAAAGCUUAAAACCUAAAGGACUUGACGGUACCCCACUUCCCCCUAGAGGAGCCUGUCCUACAACCGAUACCCCCCGUUCUACCUCACCGCUUAUAGCCUUUCAGCCUGUAUACUUCCGUCCUAGCUUACCAUGUGAAUGAACAGUAAGCCCCAACGCACUAUUUAUCUACCACAUCAGGUCAAGGUGCAGCAAAUAAAGCGGAAAGAGAUGGGCUACACUUUCUACACUAGAACACACGAAAAGUUAAUAUGCAACCCAACUAGAAGGUGGAUUUAGCAGUAAAAAGAAAUUAGAGUGUUCUUUUUAACUUGGUACUGGGGUGUGUACACACCGCCCGUCACCCUCUUCAAAAUACAACCAUAGUACUUAACAAAUUUACGCAAAAAGAAGAGGUAAGUCGUAACAUGGUAAGUGCACCGGA